RNAcentral lists this small RNA (501 nucleotides) under Pongo abelii (Sumatran orangutan). RNAcentral's name for it is "retained intron". The record is from RNAcentral. Lineage: Eukaryota; Metazoa; Chordata; Mammalia; Primates; Hominidae.
CCUUGCUGCGCCGGUACAACAUCCCGCACGGGCCUGUAGUAGGAUCAACUCGUAGGCUUUACGAGAAGAAGAUCUUCGAGUACGAGACCCAGAGGCGGCGGCUCUCGCCCCCCAGCUCGUCCGCCGCUUCCUCUUAUAGCUUCUCUGACUUGAAUUCGACUAGAGGGAAUGCAAAUAUGUAUGAUCUUCCCAAGAAAGAGGACGCUUUACUCUACCAGAGCAAGGGCUACAAUGACGACUACUAUGAAGAGAGCUACUUCACUACCAGGACUUAUGGGGAGCCCGAGUCUGCAAGCCCGUCCAGGGCCGUCCGCCAGUCAGUGACUUCAUUCCCAGAUGCUGACGCUUUCCACCACCAGGUGCGUGAUGAAGAUCUUUUGUCUUCUUCUGAAGAGGAGUGCAAGGAUAGGUACGUAGUGGGGAAGCCCAGGGACGGGCUGGUUCUGGGCCCAGGCUCCUGGCCCACUUGCUCCCCUCUUUUGCCUCAGGGAACGCCCCAUG